AUCGCUUCUCGGCCUUUUGGCUAAGAUCAAAGUGUAGUAUCUGUUCUUAUCAGCUUAAUAUCUGAUACGGGUCCUAUUUGGACCCAAGAUAUUAAACUUAUUUUUGGAAUGGGGCGGUAGCUCCGCAGCGGGCGCCAUUGGCAUUCCUGUGGCGGCAGAAAUCAGUGACAUCUGCAGAGUUGACAAUGCCUU
Non-coding RNA from Dermacentor albipictus, 192 nucleotides. The record is from RefSeq and is a predicted model, not a curated record. NCBI's taxonomy places the organism in Eukaryota, Metazoa, Arthropoda, Arachnida, Ixodida, Ixodidae.